RNAcentral lists this ribosomal RNA (440 nucleotides) under uncultured bacterium. RNAcentral's name for it is "partial 16S ribosomal RNA". It matches the Rfam family "Bacterial small subunit ribosomal RNA", at positions 338 to 795 of the family's 1533-position model. The record is from RNAcentral.
CCUACGGGUGGCUGCAGUGGGGAAUAUUGCACAAUGGGGGAAACCCUGAUGCAGCGACGCCGCGUGAGUGAAGAAGGAAUUCGGUAUGUAAAGCUCUAUCAGCAGGGAAGAAAAUGACGGUACCUGAGUAAGAAGCCCCGGCGAACUACGUGCCAGCAGCCGCGGGAAUACGUAGGGGGCAAGAGUUAUCCGGAGUUACGGGGGGGAAAGGGAGCGGAGACGGCAGUGCAAGUCUGGAGUGAAAGGCGGGGGCUCAACCCCCGGACUGCUCUGGAAACUGCACGGCUGGAGUGCAGGAGAGGUAAGUGGAAUUCCUAGUGUAGCGGUGAAAUGCGUAGAUAUUAGGAGGAACACCAGUGGCGAAGGCGGCUUACUGGACUGUAACUGACGUUGAGGCUCGAAAGCGUGGGGAGCAAACAGGAUUAGAUACCCGAGUAGUC